AGAAACUGCAGGGGGUACGUGAAGCUUUUCAAAAUAUCUUUAAAAAAUCAGUAGGCUCCUCAUAAUAAGUCUUGGGAAAAAUUAUUUUGUAAAAAGUUCGAUAAAAUAUAAAUGUGUGUUCAUGCACUGAAUUUUAUAUUCAGUAUUUAGUUUCAAUAUCCUUUAAAAUAAAACGGACCCCCCCACCAAGUUAGUUUGACCCACGGACCCAGGGCACUCGUCAACGACCUGUCGUUAUCAUGAUUACACUGUAACUAUGGAGACGUGGCUAAAGCGUAGUAGCAAUGCUGCUGAAAGUACAGAUAAAGUGAAAAAGAAGGCAAAACCAGAGCCGACGAAGUACAGAACGUACAUGGAAAAGUAUGUUUUAAUGGGAUUUACGUCCACGAUCUCUGACCCCCCCCCCAGGCACUGUGUUUUAUUUGUGGGGAGAAAUUAGCCAACGCUAGCAUGAAGCCGGAACACCUCCAGCGGCAUCUCACCACAAAACAUGGAUGUCACGUUGGUAAGCCACCGGAGUUCUUCAGGAGAAAACUUUCUGAGUUCAAGUCAUCCCAAGCCACAAUGCGAAAAGCCUCCACUACAUCAGCCAAAGCCCUGGAGGCUUCUUACGCGGUGUCUUUGCUCGUUGCUAAAGCCAAAAAACCGUUCACCAUAGCGGAAGACCUACUGCUCCCCGCUGCUGUUGUAUUGGUGGAAACUAUGCUGGACAAAAAAUCAGCGGAUACAUUAAAAACUGUGCCUCUGUCUAAUGACACCGUUUGCCGCAGAAUAAAUAACAUGGGCACAGACAUUGUCGAACAAGUUGUGGGGAAACUUGGCGACUCAUUUUCACUGCAGCUGGAUGAAUCCACAGAUGUGAAUGGAAAUGCGCAACUUGUUGCAUUUGUAAGAUACAUUGACACGGACGACAUCUGUGAACACAUCCUAUUCUGCAAAGAAAUGGAGGGGCGAACAUAUUUAUGUGA
Xiphophorus hellerii (green swordtail) is the source of this 968-nucleotide long non-coding RNA. RefSeq lists it as uncharacterized. The transcript has 3 exons. The record is from RefSeq and is a predicted model, not a curated record. NCBI's taxonomy places the organism in Eukaryota, Metazoa, Chordata, Actinopteri, Cyprinodontiformes, Poeciliidae.